UCCUGGUGGCUCAGAUGGUAAAGCGUCUGUCUACAAUGCAGGAGACCCAGGUUCAAUCCUUGGGUCAGGAA
RNAcentral lists this transfer RNA (71 nucleotides) under Ovis aries (sheep). It matches the Rfam family "tRNA". Rfam says of the family: Transfer RNA (tRNA) molecules are approximately 80 nucleotides in length. Lineage: Eukaryota; Metazoa; Chordata; Mammalia; Artiodactyla; Bovidae. The record is from Rfam by way of RNAcentral.